AACGAACGCUGGCGGCGCGCCUAAUACAUGCAAGUCGAGCGAGAAGACGUAGCAAUACGUUUGUAAAGCGGCGAACGGGUGAGGAAUACAUGGGUAACCUACCCUCGAGUGGGGAAUAACUAGCCGAAAGGUUAGCUAAUACCGCGUACGCUCCUUGGACUUCGGUUCAGGGAGGAAAGCGAUACCGUGGGUAUCGCGCUCUUGGAUGGGCUCAUGUCCUAUCAGCUUGUUGGUGAGGAACGGCUCACCAAGGCUUCGACGGGUAGCUGGUCUGAGAGGACAAUCAGCCACACUGGCACUGCGACACGGGCCAGACUCCUACGGGAGGCAGCAGUAAGGACUAUUGCGCAAUGGGCGAAAGCCUGACGCAGCGACGCCGCGUGGGGGAUGAAGGUCUUCGGAUUGUAAACCCC
RNAcentral lists this ribosomal RNA (413 nucleotides) under uncultured bacterium. RNAcentral's name for it is "bacterial SSU rRNA". It matches the Rfam family "Bacterial small subunit ribosomal RNA", at positions 29 to 433 of the family's 1533-position model. The record is from RNAcentral.